RNAcentral lists this ribosomal RNA (398 nucleotides) under uncultured bacterium. Its description in RNAcentral is "bacterial SSU rRNA". It matches the Rfam family "Bacterial small subunit ribosomal RNA", at positions 362 to 776 of the family's 1533-position model. The record is from RNAcentral.
UAUUGCACAAUGGGGGAACCCCUGAUGCAGCGACGCCGCGUGAGUGAAGAAGUCUUUCGGUAUGUAAAGCUCUAUCAGCAGGAACGAGACAAGACGGUACCUGACUAAGAAGCCCCGGCUAACUACGUGCCCGCAGCCGCGGUAAUACGUAGGGGGCAAGCGUUAUCCGGAUUUACUGGGUGUAAAGGGAGCGUAGACGGCAGCACAAGUCUGGAGUGAAAUGCCGGGGCUUAACCCCGGAACUGCUUUGGAAACUGUGCAGCUAGAGUGCAGGAGAGGUAAGUGGAAUUCCUAGUGUAGCGGUGAAAUGCGUAGAUAUUAGGAGGAACACCAGUGGCGAAGGCGGCUUACUGGACUGUAACUGACGUUGAGGCUCGAAAGCGUGGGGAGCAAACAGG